This 503-nucleotide ribosomal RNA is filed under the name uncultured bacterium. RNAcentral describes it as "bacterial SSU rRNA". It matches the Rfam family "Bacterial small subunit ribosomal RNA", at positions 29 to 524 of the family's 1533-position model. The record is from RNAcentral.
AUUGAACGCUGGCGGCGUGCUUAACACAUGCAAGUCGAUCGGUAACAGGUGUAGCAAUACAUGCUGACGAGAGGCGGACGGGUGAGUAAUGCUUGGGAAUCUGCCUAUUAGUGGGGGACAACCCGGGGAAACUCGGGCUAAUACCGCAUACGCUCUACGGAGGAAAGCCGGGGACCGCAAGGCCUGGCGCUAAUAGAUGAGCCCAAGUCGGAUUAGCUAGUUGGUAGGGUAACGGCCUACCAAGGCGACAAUCCGUAGCUGGUCUGAGAGGACGACCAGCCACACCGGAACUGAGACACGGUCCGGACUCCUACGGGAGGCAGCAGUGGGGAAUAUUGGACAAUGGGGGCAACCCUGAUCCAGCGACGCCGCGUGGGUGAAGAAGGCCUGCGGGUUGUAAAGCCCUUUCGGUGGGGAAGAAAAGUCUCGACCUAAUACGUCGGGACCUUGACGUAACCCACUAAAGAAGCACCGGCUAACUCUGUGCCAGCCGCCGCGGUAAG